AUUGAACGCUGGCGGCAGGCCUAACACAUGCAAGUCGAGCGGAUGAAGGGAGCUUGCUCCUGGAUUCAGCGGCGGACGGGUGAGUAAUGCCUAGGAAUCUGCCUGGUAGUGGGGGAUAACGUCCGGAAACGGGCGCUAAUACCGCAUACGUCCUGAGGGAGCAAGUGGGGGAUCUUCGGACCUCACGCUAUCAGAUGAGCCUAGGUCGGAUUAGCUAGUUGGUGGGGUAAAGGCCUACCAAGGCGACGAUCCGUAACUGGUCUGAGAGGAUGAUCAGUCACACUGGAACUGAGACACGGUCCAGACUCCUACGGGAGGCAGCAGUGGGGAAUAUUGGACAAUGGGCGAAAGCAUGAUCCAGCCAUGCCGCGUGUGUGAAGAAGGUCUUCGGAUUGUAAAGAACUUUAAGGUGGGAGGAAGGGCAGUAAGUUAAUACCUUGCUGGUGUGACGUUACCAACAGAAUAAGCACCGGCUAACUUCGUG
Molecule: ribosomal RNA, 484 nt
Filed under: uncultured bacterium
Lineage: Bacteria
Description: partial 16S ribosomal RNA
Rfam family: Bacterial small subunit ribosomal RNA
Source: RNAcentral